AUUCAUAAUAUAUUUCCAAACAUCUACUAAAGGAAUUGAAGAAGGCCAAUCCUCCUUGCAGGUGUGGAUGUAAUGAAAGCCUCCCUCCAUUCACAACUGACGCAUACUCGUUCCACUGCUUUAUUGUAAACAUCUUGCUCUAUCUCGGGCAUACUCAGUAGAAUCUGGACCACAGUAGAUACGGAGAAAGAGUCUACAGGUGGUUGUGUAGUCCCUGAGCUCGCAGAG
RNAcentral lists this long non-coding RNA (228 nucleotides) under Eucalyptus grandis. RNAcentral's name for it is "long non-coding RNA (EGRA_LNC002696)". The record is from RNAcentral. Lineage: Eukaryota; Viridiplantae; Streptophyta; Magnoliopsida; Myrtales; Myrtaceae.